GAGGGAUAGUGGCGAACGGGUGAGUAACACGUUGGCGACCUGCCCCGAAGUGGGGGACAACCACGGGAAACUGUGGUUAAUACCGCAUGAGCUCCAGAGGGUUAGAGGCCUCUGGAGAAAAGCUCCGGCGCUUCGGGAGGGGCCUGCGGCCUAUCAGCUAGUUGGUAGGGUAAUGGCCUACCAAGGCUAAGACGGGUAGGGGGCGUGAGAGCGUGGCCCCCCACAAUGGAACUGAGACACGGUCCAUACUCCUACGGGAGGCAGCAGUGAGGAAUAUUGCACAAUGGGGGAAACCCUGAUGCAGCAACGCCGCGUGGGUGAUGAAGGCCUUCGGGUCGUAAAACCCUUUUCUGGGGGACGAGAAAGGACGGUACCCCAGGAAUAAGUCCCGGCUAACUACGUGCCAGCAGCCGCGGUAACACGUAGGGGGCGAGCGUUAUCCGGAUUUAUUGGGCGUAAAGCGCGUGCAGGCGGCCUGGUAGGUUGGACGUGAAAGCUCCUGGCUUAACUGGGAGAGGUCGUUCAAUACCGCCAGGCUUGAGGUCGGAAGAGGGGAGUGGAAUUCCCGGUGUAGUGGUGGAAUGCGUAGAUAUCGGGAGGAACACCUGUGGCGAAAGCGGCUCCCUGGUCCGCACCUGACGCUCAGACGCGAAAGCGUGGGGAGCGAACGGGAUUAGAUACCCCGGUAGUCCACGCUGUAAACGAUGGAUGCUAGGUAUGGGUGGUAUUGACCCCAUCUGUGCCGUAGCUAACGCGUUAAGCAUCCCGCCUGGAUACUACGGCCGCAAGGCUAAAACCCAAAGGAAUUGACGGGGGCCCGCACAAGCGGUGGAGCAUGUGGUUCAAUUCGACGCAACGCGAAGAACCUUACCUGGGCUUGAACCGCGGACGACAAUCCUGGAAACAGGAUCUUCCUUCGGGACGUCCGUAGAGGUGCUGCAUGGCUGUCGUCAGCUCGUGUCGUGAGAUGUUGGGUUAAGUCCCGCAACGAGCGCAACCC
This 1000-nucleotide ribosomal RNA is filed under the name uncultured bacterium. RNAcentral's name for it is "bacterial SSU rRNA". It matches the Rfam family "Bacterial small subunit ribosomal RNA", at positions 87 to 1104 of the family's 1533-position model. The record is from RNAcentral.